This 241-nucleotide non-coding RNA is filed under the name Staphylococcus cohnii. Its description in RNAcentral is "T-box sequence". It matches the Rfam family "T-box leader". From Rfam's summary of the family: Uncharged tRNA acts as the effector for transcription antitermination of genes in the T-box leader family. The record is from RNAcentral. Lineage: Bacteria; Bacillati; Bacillota; Bacilli; Caryophanales; Staphylococcaceae.
GAAAUAUUGUCUAAUGGGAAGAGUAAAUAAGCUGAAAUUUAACAGAGAGUACAUGGUCGCUGAAAAUGUACAGUUUAACUUAUUGAAGGUAGCCCUCAUUGAACUUUAGCUGAAAUUUGUCAAAACAAAGAUAAUAAAGUAGGUUAAAGCGUGUUUGAGCGUUAAUCAUAAUUUUAAGUGCUUGAAAUUAUUAUGUUAAUUUCUUGAAUUUAGGUGGUACCACGGUAAACCCGUCCUAUUU